AUCCAACUGGCCAGUCCCAAAUAGGAUGAAACGCGUGUCCUGGAU
RNAcentral lists this non-coding RNA (45 nucleotides) under Schistosoma haematobium. The record is from RNAcentral. Lineage: Eukaryota; Metazoa; Platyhelminthes; Trematoda; Strigeidida; Schistosomatidae.